This 72-nucleotide transfer RNA is filed under the name Camelus bactrianus (Bactrian camel). It matches the Rfam family "tRNA". Rfam says of the family: Transfer RNA (tRNA) molecules are approximately 80 nucleotides in length. Their secondary structure includes four short double-helical elements and three loops (D, anti-codon, and T loops). Further hydrogen bonds mediate the characteristic L-shaped molecular structure. tRNAs have two regions of fundamental functional importance: the anti-codon, which is responsible for specific mRNA codon recognition, and the 3' end, to which the tRNAs corresponding amino acid is attached (by aminoacyl-tRNA synthetases). tRNAs cope with the degeneracy of the genetic code in two manners: having more than one tRNA (with a specific anti-codon) for a particular amino acid; and 'wobble' base-pairing, i.e. permitting non-standard base-pairing at the 3rd anti-codon position. Lineage: Eukaryota; Metazoa; Chordata; Mammalia; Artiodactyla; Camelidae. RNAcentral also lists the same sequence under 2 other names. The record is from Rfam by way of RNAcentral.
GUGGGUAUAGCUCAGUGGCAGAGCACUUGCUUAGAGUGUGCAAGGUCCUGGGUUCAAUCCCCAGUACCUUCA